This 74-nucleotide transfer RNA is filed under the name Ixodes scapularis (black-legged tick). It matches the Rfam family "tRNA". Rfam says of the family: Transfer RNA (tRNA) molecules are approximately 80 nucleotides in length. Their secondary structure includes four short double-helical elements and three loops (D, anti-codon, and T loops). Further hydrogen bonds mediate the characteristic L-shaped molecular structure. tRNAs have two regions of fundamental functional importance: the anti-codon, which is responsible for specific mRNA codon recognition, and the 3' end, to which the tRNAs corresponding amino acid is attached (by aminoacyl-tRNA synthetases). tRNAs cope with the degeneracy of the genetic code in two manners: having more than one tRNA (with a specific anti-codon) for a particular amino acid; and 'wobble' base-pairing, i.e. permitting non-standard base-pairing at the 3rd anti-codon position. The record is from Rfam by way of RNAcentral. Lineage: Eukaryota; Metazoa; Arthropoda; Arachnida; Ixodida; Ixodidae.
AUUUGGUUAGCUCAGUUGGUAGAGCACUUCACUGGAAAUGGAGAGGUCCCUGGUUUCGAUACUAGGACCAGGCG